Molecule: non-coding RNA, 110 nt
Organism: Ciborinia camelliae
Lineage: Eukaryota; Fungi; Ascomycota; Leotiomycetes; Helotiales; Sclerotiniaceae
Source: the annotation of a GenBank genome assembly
AUCUCGUUGGGCUAGUGGUCAUGCCAUCUGUCUCACAAAAAAAAUCAAAAAUUUCUCUGGAUUUUUUCGUCGCGCACAGAAGAUCGCAGGUUCAAACCCUGCACGGGAUA